AUCUAGCUGACGAGUCCCGAAUAGGAUGAACCACACGUCCUGGAU
Non-coding RNA from Schistosoma mattheei, 45 nucleotides. The record is from Rfam. Lineage: Eukaryota; Metazoa; Platyhelminthes; Trematoda; Strigeidida; Schistosomatidae.